This is a transfer RNA of Pseudogymnoascus pannorum, 87 nucleotides long. It matches the Rfam family "tRNA". Rfam says of the family: Transfer RNA (tRNA) molecules are approximately 80 nucleotides in length. Their secondary structure includes four short double-helical elements and three loops (D, anti-codon, and T loops). NCBI's taxonomy places the organism in Eukaryota, Fungi, Ascomycota, Leotiomycetes, Thelebolales, Thelebolaceae. The record is from Rfam.
CCCUUUGUAGCUCAGUUGGAUUAGAGCAUCGGACUGUAAUGUACGCAAAUCAUCCGGGGGCCCCCGGUUCGAUUCCGGGCGAAGGGA